This 253-nucleotide ribosomal RNA is filed under the name uncultured bacterium. RNAcentral describes it as "partial 16S ribosomal RNA". It matches the Rfam family "Bacterial small subunit ribosomal RNA", at positions 524 to 776 of the family's 1533-position model. The record is from RNAcentral.
UACAGAGGGUGCAAGCGUUGUUCGGAAUUAUUGGGCGUAAAGAGCUCGUAGGCGGUUUGUCGCGUCUGCUGUGAAAACUCGGGGCUUAACUCCGGAUCUGCGGUGGGUACGGGCAGACUAGAGUGAUGUAGGGGAGACUGGAAUUCCUGGUGUAGCGGUGAAAUGCGCAGAUAUCAGGAGGAACACCGAUGGCGAAGGCAGGUCUCUGGGCAUUAACUGACGCUGAGGAGCGAAAGCAUGGGGAGCGAACAGG